GCUUAGCCUUAAAAAUUGAUAAUACACUACACCUAUUAUCCGCCUGGGCACUACGAGCAUCAGCUUAAAACCCAAAGGACUUGGCGGUGCUUUAGAUCCCCCUAGAGGAGCCUGUCCUAGAACCGAUAAUCCCCGUUAAACCUCACCCCCCCUUGUUCCACCAGCCUAUAUACCGCCGUCGCCAGCUUACCCUGUGAAGGACCUAUAGUAAGCAUAAUUGGUACAACCCAGAACGUCAGGUCGAGGUGUAGCUUAUGGGAGGGAAAGAGAUGGGCUACAUUCCAUAACACAUGAAAUACGAACGAUGUAUUGAAAAACACAUCCGAAGGAGGAUUUAGUAGUAAGUAGAAAAAAGAGUAUUCUACUGAAACCGGCCCUGAAGCGCGU
RNAcentral lists this ribosomal RNA (387 nucleotides) under Maccullochella peelii (Murray cod). RNAcentral describes it as "partial 12S ribosomal RNA". It matches the Rfam family "Bacterial small subunit ribosomal RNA", at positions 794 to 1384 of the family's 1533-position model. Lineage: Eukaryota; Metazoa; Chordata; Actinopteri; Centrarchiformes; Percichthyidae. The record is from RNAcentral.